This 464-nucleotide ribosomal RNA is filed under the name uncultured Klebsiella sp. RNAcentral's name for it is "bacterial SSU rRNA". It matches the Rfam family "Bacterial small subunit ribosomal RNA", at positions 339 to 795 of the family's 1533-position model. The record is from RNAcentral. Lineage: Bacteria; Pseudomonadati; Pseudomonadota; Gammaproteobacteria; Enterobacterales; Enterobacteriaceae.
CUACGGGUGGCUGCAGUGGGGAAUAUUGCACAAUGGGCGCAAGCCUGCUGCAGCCAUGCCGCGUGUGUGAAGAAGGCCUUCGGGUUGUAAAGCACUUUCAGCGGGGAGGAAGGCGGUGAGGUUAAUAACCUCAUCGAUUGACGUUACCCGCAGAAGAAGCACCGGCUAACUCCGUGCCAGCAGCCGCGGUAAUACGGAGGGUGCAAGCGUUAAUCGGAAUUACUGGGCGUAAAGCGCACGCAGGCGGUCUGUCAAGUCGGAUGUGAAAUCCCCGGGCUCAACCUGGGAACUGCAUUCGAAACUGGCAGGCUAGAGUCUUGUAGAGGGGGGUAGAAUUCCAGGUGUAGCGGUGAAAUGCGUAGAGAUCUGGAGGAAUACCGGUGGCGAAGGCGGCCCCCUGGACAAAGACUGACGCUCAGGUGCGAAAGCGUGGGGAGCAAACAGGAUUAGAUACCCCUGUAGUC